UACGGAAGGCAGCAGUGGGGAAUAUUGCACAAUGGGCGAAAGCCUGAUGCAGCUAUGCCGCGUGUAUGAAGAAGGCCUUAGGGUUGUAAAGUACUUUCAUCGGGGAGGAAAAAACAAAACUAAUAAUUUUAUUUCUUGACGUUACCCGAAAAAGAAGCACCGGCUAACUCCGUGCCAGCAGCCGCGGUAAUACGGAGGGUGCUAGCGUUAAUCAGAAUUACUGGGCGUAAAGGGCACGCAGGCGGUUAAUUAAGUUGGAUGUGAAAUCCCCGGGCUUAACCUGGGAAUGGCAUUCAAGACUGGUUAGCUAGAGUCUUGUAGAGGGGGGUAGAAUUCCAUGUGUAGCGGUGAAAUGCGUAGAGAUGUGGAGGAAUACCGGUGGCGAAGGCGGCCCCUGGACAAAGACUGACGCUCAUGUGCGAAAGCGUGGGGAGCAAACAGGGAUUAGAUACC
Molecule: ribosomal RNA, 453 nt
Filed under: uncultured bacterium
Lineage: Bacteria
Description: bacterial SSU rRNA
Rfam family: Bacterial small subunit ribosomal RNA
Source: RNAcentral